ACUCCUCCUUGUCUAAACCGUUCUUCUUGCUUCGAUGCUCUAAUGGCAGCAAGGUAAUCUUCUUUCUCCGCAGGGUGCAUGUCUGAAGGAUAUGCAUAUCCAUCCUCAUCAUCAUCAUCAUCAUCAUCAUCAACAGGAUUGCUACUUUUAUUGCUCAUGUAUCCCCCUCUUGCUGUAGAUCUUAUGUUUUCUUCAACAGAUUUCUUAUGUUGUUUGCU
Molecule: long non-coding RNA, 218 nt
Filed under: Prunus persica (peach)
Lineage: Eukaryota; Viridiplantae; Streptophyta; Magnoliopsida; Rosales; Rosaceae
Description: long non-coding RNA (PPER_LNC004739)
Source: RNAcentral